GACGGCGGGUGCGAGCGUUAAUCGGAAUUACUGGGCGUAAAGCGCAUGUAGGCGGCCGAACAAGUCAGGUGUGAAAUCCUCGGGCUUAACCUGGGAAGUGCACUUGAUACUGUCCGGCUAGAGUUUGGCAGAGGAAAGUAGAAUUCCCGGUGUAGCGGUGAAAUGCGUAGAUAUCGGGAGGAAUACCAGUGGCGAAGGCGGCUUUCUGGGCCAAUUCUGACGCUGAGGUGCGAAAUCGUGGGGAGCAAACAGG
This 253-nucleotide ribosomal RNA is filed under the name uncultured bacterium. RNAcentral describes it as "partial 16S ribosomal RNA". It matches the Rfam family "Bacterial small subunit ribosomal RNA", at positions 524 to 776 of the family's 1533-position model. The record is from RNAcentral.